Neodiprion fabricii is the source of this 1566-nucleotide long non-coding RNA. RefSeq lists it as uncharacterized. The record is from RefSeq and is a predicted model, not a curated record. NCBI's taxonomy places the organism in Eukaryota, Metazoa, Arthropoda, Insecta, Hymenoptera, Diprionidae. The transcript is spliced from 4 exons.
AAGGUUAUAUUAUACGGGGUCGAACGGGGGUGGCUGAAGAUGGAAGUCGAGCUUGCUCGGGGGAGUGUACACAUAUCGACAUCGUCCAUGCAUGACAAAACGCCUGGCUAGCCACGCCGGGAAAAACGACGAGAGAUCCGGUCUUCAUCCUCUACGAGGAUACACCCCCACCGCCCUUCUCAUCCACGGGUGCAGAAAGAAGGCGAGACUACGAAGUUGGAGGAUUUGAUUGAUUGCACUCAACGCGCUCGAGAUUUGAAUCUCCUUAACGUUGGAUCCUAUGGAGUCAAUCAAACUAGAACUUGAAGGUGCCGUGGAAUCUUAUUCUUGACAAUGAUUUUCAAGCGAUAUGUAAUGCCUGAGUAAGCAAGCUCUUUCGGACGAUAUGAACGCGCUUACCUUACCCAGGAAACACCAUGCUUCGUGACCCUAAGUUGCUCAAUGGGUAUCAGGAUUCACCAGGAAAUGAAACAUAUUCGACACCAUUUACAAACCCAGAUAACACGAGAAACAAUGCGACGCUCUAACCGCGAAGUAUUAGAGGAGUUAUGGCUCUUGCUGGCGGUUAAGAUUCCUUCAAUGGGAUACUAACGAUGACCGUGGCAGCGACAUCGCUGGAGAAAACCAAAACUUGUCCUACUAUGGAGAUAGCAACUCGAAGGGGAGCCUUUGGAUGAAAUUCCUACCCUAUGAAGAAGGGUAAAGGCGUCGAGAGGGUAGCUGUUGGCAAGCCAUUCGUCAGAAGAUAACGUUACUCAAUCGACGGUCGGUAACAUGCAAAAGCUAAACCAUCUACAUUCCAGUAUCUCUUUUCAGUAAGCUCUGAAAAAGCUUAGGGUGUAAUGAUUAGAGUAAUUACGCUUUCCAUCGGUAAAUGCGAUGGCGAUGUCUCAAUUUCCUGUGACAGACACAAAACUGUAACAUUGAAACGACUAAGUUUAAGACCGCUAUCAAGAAACAAAUUAAAUGAGAGUGAGAAAAAUCCAGUCAAACGAUACUUUAUAAUGAGCAUUGAAACAUGAGAUGAUAGAAAAAUAAGGUAAAGUUUAAGAGGAAUAGAUGACCGGUUGCCGGAGCAAUGACAUUGAGUCGGUACGAAGUGAGUACAUGAGACUACUUCUUGACUGCAACUUGAAAAUGUCACUCAGCUCGAUCAUCCCCGUGGGAAGACGCGUGACCGCGUCCACCGCCGACCACCGCAACUACCUCCGAGCACCACCAACCACCUUUAAUCACCUCCUCCCACCUCCGGCCACCUUCGUCCUCAUCAACCACCUCGUCCCCCCCUCAUGCUCCUCGUCGUCCACCCUGCCCGGUCGUCAUCGUCCUCCUCGACCUCCUCCGAUCACCACCAACCACCUCCAAACACCUCCUACGUUGUCUAAAGAAUAAAAAGACAGUUGCCCUAAUGGGCUUUGGUGUGACAACCGAAUUCGUCGUGCGCUUGAGCUCCCUGAGAUGUUCCAUCGGUAGAGUUAAAAACUUAUUGCAGAACAUCAGAGAGUUACCGAUUUCGACGUGAUGCUGACUGCAUUCGCCUUCCGAGUAACACAGCCUUCGGAAUGG